This 439-nucleotide ribosomal RNA is filed under the name uncultured bacterium. RNAcentral describes it as "partial 16S ribosomal RNA". It matches the Rfam family "Bacterial small subunit ribosomal RNA", at positions 338 to 795 of the family's 1533-position model. The record is from RNAcentral.
ACUACGGGUGGCAGCAGUGGGGAAUAUUGCGCAAUGGGGGAAACCCUGACGCAGCAACGCCGCGUGCGGGAAGAAGGCCCUCGGGUCGUAAACCGCUUUCAGCAGGGAAGACCACGACGGUACCUGCAGAAGAAGCUCCGGCUAACUACGUGCCAGCAGCCGCGGUAAGACGGAGGGGGCGAGCGUUAUCCGGAUUCAUUGGGCGUAAAGCGCGCGUAGGCGGCCGCCUAAGCGGAACCUCUAACCCCGGGGCUCAACCUCGAGCCGGGUUUCGGACUGGUCGGCUCGAGUGCGGGAGAGGAGUGCGGAAUUCCCGGUGGAGCGGUGGAAUGCGCAGAUAUCGGGAAGAACACCGAUGGCGAAGGCAGCUCUCUGGGCCGUCACUGACGCUGAGGCGCGAAAGCUGGGGGAGCGAACAGGAUUAGAUACCCGAGUAGUC